RNAcentral lists this transfer RNA (73 nucleotides) under bacterium. RNAcentral's name for it is "tRNA-Lys". It matches the Rfam family "tRNA". Rfam says of the family: Transfer RNA (tRNA) molecules are approximately 80 nucleotides in length. Their secondary structure includes four short double-helical elements and three loops (D, anti-codon, and T loops). RNAcentral also lists the same sequence under 2 other names. The record is from RNAcentral.
GCACCGCUAGCUCAAUUGGCAGAGCAACUGACUCUUAAUCAGUGGGUUCGGGGUUCGAUUCCCUGGCGGUGCA